AGCAGCAGCCUGGUGCCUGAUCGUGCCUUAAACAGGCUUAAAUUCUCGGCCGCAGCGCUGUGCCAGCCCACAAAACACAGGGAAACUCUGAUGAAUUAACAGCAGCGAUUCCGGCUGUAUUUGAUAACACUGGCAUGUGGCUACGGGCUCGAGUGUGGAAAUCCAUGGGUUACACGGGUUCAUGGCUGGGCUUGCAGCUCACUGACGCGUGUUUGUGUCUGCUGCUGGCCCCAGACAGGCUGGGCUGAAGAUGUUGUUCUGCUCCUUGGUGGUCAAGGUUGGCAGGGGUUUGUUCCGUACAAUUUGUUCUGCAGACUCAGCCAAUAAAUCCCAAAUUAAUAUCACCAGGAUCAGGGACUCCUUGAUGACUUCCUUGAGAUAUGUGUCUGACCUGACCAGUGCUCACCCUUUAAAAAGUUGAGUUUGAAGAACAAAAAACGUGACACUGCCAGAAAGAAAGACUAGUUUAAUAUUACUAUUACUUCAUAACUGUGGGCUUCAGUGUCAGUGGCCAUCCAUUAUACCUUUCAUAAUCAUGCUUUAGAAAAUAAAGAUCUACCUUCUCACACUUCAGAAUUCCAUCCUUGGCUUUCUGGAGUUAAUAUUAGCACAGCUCAAACAGGCUUCGUUGGAAGCUAGAGCAGCAAAAUCAGUCAAAAAACACAACUAUGUUAAAUAUUAAAACCUUGUUAGGAAGCCAGUGGGGAUUUCCCUCCAGCAACCUGUAAAUGUCACUCACAAUAUUUUCACAGCAUAUUUUCCCCUACCCAGCAAAGAAAUCUCUUUGUGCCUUACAACAUCCGCUGUGCUCAGACACUCCUCAUGGGCAAAACAUGGUGGCUUGGGGUUUUUCUGGGUUUUUUUCCCCUUGGGGAUCACAUUAGUUGGAGUCUGCCUGACUCCUAAUCCCUACAAUAUGACACAGCAGCAAUAAAGUGAGCAAAGAGAUCAUGAACAUAAUGUAAAACUGAUUGCUGUGUAUUGAUCCAGACUGCAGAAGGACUGAGUUUGCAGAAUUUAGUCACAUGGAUAAAGGUAAGGAAAUUGGAGAGGCUGUAGUAGGGAGGUGGUGUCAGCCCUGUCCUCCCUGGGGUUCUGCUUUAUAUUGCUUGCUGUUGAGCCAUACAAAACUCUUUGGCUCUGUGGUUUGAAGAUGACAUUCCUGUCUCAGCAUUGCUGCCAGCUGGCUGGGGGUGUCUCCAUGGCUCCUGCAACCACUCACAACUGAGUUGGAAAGUUUGAAUUUGCCCAGAGUUCACAGUUUGCUUUCAGUAGUCUGACCUUCUGGAAUUGGACCUGAGAGUAUCUCUAUAACCUCUUUCCACUAGCAAAGAAACAGAUGGGAGGGGAUGGGAAGAGAGUGGAAGGCAAAAGGAAAGGGAAUCCCCAGCAGAGAAGCAGCUGCAUGUGAUUAUUAACUACAGACACUGGUUUUGAGGGGAAAGCCCUUCCUACAGGCUUAGUGGUAAACCAAUUUUCCCCUCUUUACCCCUGUGGGUCAGCCUGAGGCUGAAGGUGAGUCCUGCAGCAUGGAUACAAUUUUCCGUGCCUCUCUUGUAUGAAUCAUGGGUUGAUCCACUCAGUGCUGAAAUGUGUCCAGUCCUGGUCAGCAAACUGAGCCAGAGCCAAGCCCAGCUGUGCAGGACUGACCUCAGUGCUCAUCUGCUGAGGUUCACAACACAGUUCUUGGAGCAUGUUCACUGAGUCAGGAGCUAUGCCACUGGAUUCAUCUCAGUGAAUUGGUCAGAGCAGCUUUAAAAAGAAAUUUCGCAUCAGUUGCUUAGCAUGAAAUGACCUUUACGUAGAGCUGGCUUACCCCUCAGUUGACAUUUGCCCAGGAAGCCCUGAUCUAGCUGAAAAGCUCGGGUCUGUGUUUCUCGUGCACCAGAGAGGUACUUUCAAAGCCAGUAAUUAAUUGUGUCAGAGAUGCAGGGGAAAGCCAUAUCCUCAAAGUGACAUUUGAGCCAUGCACCCUCCCAUGACUUUAAUGUUUUCCAGUUGCAAUGAUAAGAGUCAUGUUAUCUGCUCAUGCAGGGAACGUAACAAACUGUUUGAUUUUCUACCUUAUGUUUCAUUGACAUUAUCUCUGAACUAAAUGUUGUUAAUGUUCUGCUGCAUUUUGUAUUAACAGCAAAGCCCUCUGUUCCCCUUGGGAAAAAUAAACUAGAGCUGCAUCAUCUUUGUGGAUCAGAAGGAAAGGAUGACAGCCAUGAGGUUGCUUCCUGCUGCUUUCUUUUCUGACUGUCACCUUUCUGCUAAACCCCGUGGUGGCAGUGACACCAGUCCAGCCUGAGAAACCUCCUCUCCUCCAGACCAUCGGAGACUCAGUGGGUGAUUUCUGGAGACUCAGAGAAGAAAGGCUGCUUUAAAGCAGCCCAAGCUCCCCAAGGCGCGUGGCGUGGCUGGGCUUGUGAACUGUGGUGUUCGCAGCCUGGAUCGCUCUGCGGGUAAGAACAGCCGUCGCUUCACCAGCAGAGCAGGAGUCCAUGUGCCAUGCCAGGGCUGGAAGAGGGGAAGCCUUUUCAGGAGACCUUUCUACUACAAAAAGGAAAAACAGACCAUUCUGGCAUGUGUUCAAACUCCAAAGAACUCCACUCCCAUUGUUUUUCUGGAGGCAGCAGAUCUCCAAUGGCAAUCUCAGCAUAGAACUGGUACUACAGAUGUAGACAAGGUAGAGGAAGGAAGUCAGAGCAGAUUAAUAAUUUACUCCUGCUCAGAGCUGUUUAGUGACCCUAAAUCAAAAUAAAAACAUUACAGUAUUGCAGGUAUUGCCAAAUUGCAGAGAAGUUGCCUUUGCAGCAGGAAAGUCCUUCUUUGAGUUGAUCUUGAGGUCAUUCAUACUCCCAUGAAAUGUCUCGGCCCCCUGCACUGGAGCAAUGGGCUCUCCGCAGGGCUGGCAGAAGCCAGGAUUUGCUGGUGCUUCACUGUUGUCACAAACAUGUCCUCACCAGCAGAGCCAGGCAAAGACCACAGCCUGCAAACAGCGAUGUUGGUGCUGGUUCCCAUCCGCUCCUGCCGGCCCUGCAAGAGGAGCAGCAGGACAAGGACUGGGAGCUGGACACAAUAGCAGCAUACCCAAGAGUGGCAGGGAGUGGGCAGGGAGCUCCUGACUGCCAGAGCUGGCACUUUGCCUCUGGUUACUCAUCUUCCCUGGAGCUUAGCCUCGAGGAAUGCAGCCCCAGGCAAUGCAUUCCUGAUCCCACAAGGGUUGUGCUGGGCAAGGCAAACAGGACCUGCUUCUGUGGCACCUGCUCACUGUGACUGUGGAAUGGGCUGUAUUGCCAGGGCUGGGAGGCACGGGGAGGAUGGGCAGCAGCACCUCAGGGGGAUCCAAGGCAGGAGCAUAAAGAUUCAGGGCACUGGGGUUUACAGCUAAUGCCAUGCCCUAAGGCUGCACUGAUCCCAGCCUCAGUGUGCCUGAGGCCACCGACCCUGCUGCAGCUCCCAGAGGCUGGGUUUGGCAUGGCUGCUCCCACAGAGGCACCUGAGGCUUGAGGGAAUAAAAGCCCAUUUCUUCUGCUCUUUAAAUCUGUCCCCUUUUGCUUUCAGAGAUGAAACCCGACCAAGAACCAGCACAGCUGAAGGAGCUGGCUGCUCCUGCUGCAGUAGCACCCAUUGGUGUUUCCCCACUGGAAUACAGGAGGAGGAUACUGCCUCCCAACAGCACAGUGAUGUAGAGCUGUUCUCCACGAGGAAACAGGAGCCUGAGCUCCUGCUCUGCCCUGAAAGCAGCACCUGGGAAGGGGCAGGACUGCUGCUGCCCCUUCAGCGGCCACACUUGCCAAGGAGUGCCUGGUCCAAGUCACAGGAACCAUCACAGCUCCUGCAGAGAUGCCUUUCCAGAUCUUCUUUACAGUAGGCACAACAGUGCGGGUACAAGUGAUCUGCUACAGUCACAGAAUGCCUUAGAAACUGCAUUUCUAGGAUGAUCACAGCCCUUAUGUUAAAGCCAAGUGCUACAAUUAAAAAUAGACAAGCUCUACCAGUGUUUUUACAGAAAGGGAUGAGCCAAGACAAGAACCACAAAAUCUGGUCUAAUUCAACAGCAACCUGGCCUAAUCCAGGCAGAAAGACAGCAUGCAUCAGGGCAGAUUUAUACUGCAAAACUGGAAAUGUAUUUUUAGAAUUGAGCCUGGAAAGUGUCACUUCAGAAGCAGAUCAAGCACGUCAUGGCAGGAUCAUUAUGGGAUUUGCAGAGCACCUUCCAUCACAGGAGUCUCCUGAGGUGACUUCAUGUUAAACCUUCCAGAAGUCCAAGCUCAUUCCUGCAGGUGUAACAAGCCCAGCACAGCUGGGAGGGGAAGGCUCAUCCCCAGCCUGCUCCACACUGCUCAGGGCCACACCAGGCACUCGUGGGGCUGCUCCAACCCAGUGGGCAAGUCAGCAAAGGAACCAGAGCACUCUGUUCUCCCCAGGAAACCCACAGCAACCUCCCUGUCUAUGCCCCUGCCAGCACCCUGUGCUGCCCCACUUCUGCUUUGGGGAAAAAACAAAAAAAACAACAAAAAAAAAACAAACCAAACCAAAAGGGCUUUAUUAGCCAGCUGCUGCUUUCUGGCAGUGUUAAAUCCAUGCAAUCUCCUACAGCUGAAAAGCAAAUUAGUUCAUUAAAUCACCUGCUUUACACAUUGCACUGCCCAGAUCAGGGCAGCCACACACAAACCAGAACACUGGCUGCUCAUUUCCAAAGGCACUUCUGCAGAGCUUCACUGAACUUUAAGGCUAGAACAGUACCUACACUCAAUGUCAUUUUCCCAUUCAGUCCCUUGUCAGUUCCUUAUACCUGCAGUGGUAUCCCAGGGAACAGUCCUGUCCCAUCUGCUGCUUGCAUCACCAAAUGCUUCUUGCCAGUCCAGGAGAUCUUUAAAAGCACGUGAAGGCCACAGAUCUCACCUGGGCUGGCCUUUGCAGCUGCAAGGGGCUGCUUUAGGCUGUCACAAGUGGAGCUGUGAUUUUCUUAAAGCCAGCAAGGUGCCAACUCUUGCAGCAUCAAAAUUUGUUCAAAAGGAUUUGCCUUAAAGUUCAGAGUGCUUCAGUAAUCUGUUUGAGUACUUUUAAUGUGAAAUUCACUUUACCAUUUACAGAGGACUAUUGCAGUCGUUUAUCAAAGACCAGAAUUCUGGGGGAACUCAAACAGGGUACCAGAGUUAGAGAUGCUGUUGUUGGUGAUGGAACUUGCUCCUCAAACUACUCAACCAUUGCUAUGCUGCCUCUGACAGUGGGAUUUCCCUGUGUCAAGUGUCUGAAUGCCCAUGUUUGACCCUUCUAAAAAUGGGAUUAAACAAGCCAAAUC
Long non-coding RNA from Passer domesticus (house sparrow), 5293 nucleotides. RefSeq lists it as uncharacterized. NCBI's taxonomy places the organism in Eukaryota, Metazoa, Chordata, Aves, Passeriformes, Passeridae. The record is from RefSeq and is a predicted model, not a curated record. The transcript is spliced from 2 exons.